CCCAGUUCUACAGCCAGAGGUUGGGCGCUCGGGCCGAGCCGGCCCAAUGGCCCAGACUUGAGAAGGCUUCGGAGCCCGCCAUUCUCUCGGGUUGUUCCCCUGAGUCCUGCGGAAGGAAACCGCAACGGCAACCAAUCCUUCCCAUCGAAGCGCCGCAGCAAGUGGCCUCACCUGGUUUGGCUGCGCCUUGUCCAGGAACAAGGAAGAGAUAUGGAAACAUAGUCACCAGACUCUUUGCUGUUGGGAAAGGCCAAGAAGUCACUGGAUAAACCUGCCACACUAAGCAGAAUCCCUCCAGAAACAUUCUUGAUGGACAACCCUCACCUCUGCUUAAACACUUGAGUAUUGGAGAGCUCACUACAUCACAUCUGUUUUGCAUGUUUCAAGACUCAACAAAACAAGAAAGAUAUGCAUGGUGGUAACAAAGUCACAUGGAAUCCAUGAUCCAUAUGAGAGAAACAUGGAGAGGAUCUUCUAAUUACUUGUUGGUAAAGUAGAAAGUUAGAGUAAACUAUACUAGCUAAACUGCUUUCUCAAGUUUCCAUUUUAGGCAUUUCUACUGUUUGCCCACUGCCUAGUAGGCUGCUGGAGUUCACUAUAGGAAAAGUAAAUAUUGUCAUUUCAAAUAAAG
Long non-coding RNA from Mesoplodon densirostris (Blainville's beaked whale), 631 nucleotides. RefSeq lists it as uncharacterized. The record is from RefSeq and is a predicted model, not a curated record. Lineage: Eukaryota; Metazoa; Chordata; Mammalia; Artiodactyla; Ziphiidae. The transcript is spliced from 3 exons.